ACAGGGGAGCUUCGGCUGAGAUGCGAGAGAUCGCGAACCCUUUAACCUGAGAUGGAUAAUACCGGCGUAGGGAGUUUU
This 78-nucleotide non-coding RNA is filed under the name bovine gut metagenome. The record is from RNAcentral.